RNAcentral lists this ribosomal RNA (301 nucleotides) under uncultured bacterium. Its description in RNAcentral is "partial 16S ribosomal RNA". It matches the Rfam family "Bacterial small subunit ribosomal RNA", at positions 509 to 809 of the family's 1533-position model. The record is from RNAcentral.
CAGUCGCCACGGUAAAACGUAGGGUGCGAGCGUUAAUCGGAAUUACUGGGCGUAAAGCGUGCGCAGGCGGUUCGUUAAGACAGAUGUGAAAUCCCCGGGCUUAACCUGGGAACUGCAUUUGUGACUGGCGAGCUAGAGUAUGGCAGAGGGGGGUAGAAUUCCACGUGUAGCAGUGAAAUGCGUAGAGAUGUGGAGGAAUACCGAUGGCGAAGGCAGCCCCCUGGGCCAAUACUGACGCUCAUGCACGAAAGCGUGGGGAGCAAACAGGAUUAGAUACCCGCGUAGUCCCUGUCUCUUAUAA